AAUCCCAACUGUCCUGGAAUGCUGCUGCCAUUCACCUGAUUCCUCUCCCUAACCUGCUAAUGUGUCCAAUGCAUUACACUCAGACAAUACAGGCAUGGAAUAUCAUCGUCAUCCUGAAGCUCCCUGCGGCACCUGGCUGGCUAAUGCCAUUAGCCAGACUGCUAUGAGAGAUGGACCACUGGUUUAGCCAACAUGGCAGUUCUUGUGGCUAGCUCUGCGCUCAUAAGCUAUAUGCUGUCAAACUCUGACUGCUUUGGAUGGAGUUCUGGUCUGUUGUAGCUUGUUUUUAAUGGCUCAGCAAUGCAAACUGGAGGAGAAACUCAAAGGGACCUAUGGAGGAAGGAGGUGUGUUGUGGGAGAAAGAAGAAGGAAGGCUCACCGGGUUUUGAAGUCGUCGAAGGAGAUAGUUCAGCAAGAAGGAUUUGCCACGCCGUUGCUCCCCAAGGAUGGAGAUCAAGCAGACAGGAGCGUCCUUCACCUGCCCCUGCUCCAGGCAACGGCUCAGGGCCUCCUCAUCCAGACAAAGAUCACCAUUCUCAUCUAAACCCACCAGCUGCACCGGCUGUCCCGACUGCAGUUGAUCUGUUGCUGCCUCCUGCAAAAGAUGGGACCCAGCUGGGUCAGACCAAGCUUACUGUUGCCUAGUCAGAAUCCACGGCCCCGUACAAGCAGUACACCUGGAGAAUAUUUACCAAUGAGAGAUGCAAAGGAUUGGAUUUAGGAAUGAUGAAGAGGGGAACUGCUGAACAGAGGCAAGGCUAUUCUGUUAUAUGAAAGAAUGGGAGCAACUAAGGGAAAAAAUAGGAAUUUUCCCAUUGGGAUCUGACUGAAUAAGUCUGUUUGGAGUUCAAGAACAUUGUUUCAGCACUUCACAGUCCCAGUCUUAAUUUGAGCCAAGGACAGUUUAGAGGUCAGCCACAAGAACCUACUUUCAGAACCAGCAUGCCAAGUAAUAAUAAUAAAAUAAUAAAAGUUAAAUAAUAAAAAAUAAUUAAUUAAUAAUAAUAAAAUAAAAAUAAUAAAAUUUUUGGGUGGUAUCCAAAGAAAGUUAACCAUGGCAAUUCAAGGGACAAGUUAAUUAUAAAUAACUUGUCUCAUUGACUUCAAUGGUGUUUAGCUGACUUCCUUGGGACAUAAUUAUAAUUUUUUAUUUUUUUUACGUUUCUGAGGAUUGAAUUAUUUUAAAAAUGUGUUUCUGAGCAUUCACAGAGUGAGCCUCCCACAACACAGAGCCACAGUCCACCUGCCUAAUUCCACACCCUCGAGAUUAGGGGGCACAGCUUCCAAAACAAAUGGCUGACUGUGCUAUGUGGGACCACAGCAAAGCUGGACAUAUGGGAGGGAGGACCUGCCUUCCCCUAAAACCAUAUUCUGCAUUUCAAUUUUUUGCAUUUCUCAUCCCUCUUAUUCGAAGUGGGUGGGUUUUGUUUGUUUGUCAUUUCUCAUCUCUGACAUUCUGUCAGUCCUUCAUGAACUAUAAUACAAUUGAUUUGAAAGUGG
Long non-coding RNA from Hemicordylus capensis (graceful crag lizard), 1500 nucleotides. RefSeq lists it as uncharacterized. The record is from RefSeq and is a predicted model, not a curated record. Lineage: Eukaryota; Metazoa; Chordata; Lepidosauria; Squamata; Cordylidae. The transcript is spliced from 3 exons.